This 465-nucleotide ribosomal RNA is filed under the name Vreelandella stevensii. RNAcentral's name for it is "partial 16S ribosomal RNA". It matches the Rfam family "Bacterial small subunit ribosomal RNA", at positions 338 to 795 of the family's 1533-position model. Lineage: Bacteria; Pseudomonadati; Pseudomonadota; Gammaproteobacteria; Oceanospirillales; Halomonadaceae. The record is from RNAcentral.
CCUACGGGGUGCAGCAGUGGGGAAUAUUGGACAAUGGGCGAAAGCCUGAUCCAGCCAUGCCGCGUGUGUGAAGAAGGCCUUCGGGUUGUAAAGCACUUUCAGUGGGGAAGAAAGCCUUGGGGCUAAUACCCUCGAGGAAGGACAUCACCCACAGAAGAAGCACCGGCUAACUCCGUGCCAGCAGCCGCGGUAAUACGGAGGGUGCGAGCGUUAAUCGGAAUUACAGGGCGUAAAGCGCGCGUAGGCGGUCUGAUAAGCCGGUUGUGAAAGCCCCGGGCUCAACCUGGGAACGGCAUCCGGAACUGUCAGGCUAGAGUGCAGGAGAGGAAGGUAGAAUUCCCGGUGUAGCGGUGAAAUGCGUAGAGAUCGGGAGGAAUACCAGUGGCGAAGGCGGCCUUCUGGACUGACACUGACGCUGAGGUGCGAAAGCGUGGGUAGCAAACAGGAUUAGAUACCCCAGUAGUC